This 274-nucleotide ribosomal RNA is filed under the name Dermocybe semisanguinea. Its description in RNAcentral is "partial 28S ribosomal RNA". It matches the Rfam family "Eukaryotic large subunit ribosomal RNA", at positions 1 to 267 of the family's 3401-position model. Lineage: Eukaryota; Fungi; Basidiomycota; Agaricomycetes; Agaricales; Cortinariaceae. The record is from RNAcentral.
GUGACCUCAAAUCAGGUAGGACUACCCGCUGAACUUAAGCAUAUCAAUAAGCGGAGGAAAAGAAACUAACAAGGAUUCCCCUAGUAACUGCGAGUGAAGCGGGAAAAGCUCAAAUUUAAAAUCUGACAGUCUUUGGCUGUCCGAGUUGUAAUCUAGAGAAGUGUUAUCCGCGCUGGACCGUGUACAAGUCUCCUGGAAUGGAGCGUCAUAGAGGGUGAGAAUCCCGUCUUUGACACGGACUACCAGGGCUUUGUGAUGCGCUCUCAAAGAGUCG